ACGCUGGCGGCAGGCUUAACACAUGCAAGUCGAACGGUAACAGGGAUUAGCUUGCUAAUCUGCUGACGAGUGGCGGACGGGUGAGUAAUGCUUGGGAAUCUGGCUUAUGGAGGGGGAUAACUACGGGAAACUGUAGCUAAUACCGCGUAAAAUCUUCGGAUUAAAGGGUGGGACUUUCGAGCCACCUGCCAUAAGAUGAGCCCAAGUGGGAUUAGGUAGUUGGUUAGGUAAAGGCUGACCAAGCCGACGAUCUCUAGCUGGUCUGAGAGGAUGACCAGCCACACUGGAACUGAGACACGGUCCAGACUCCUACGGGAGGCAGCAGUGGGGAAUAUUGCACAAUGGGGGGAACCCUGAUGCAGCCAUGCCGCGUGAAUGAAGAAGGCCUUCGGGUUGUAAAGUUCUUUCGUUGACGAGGAAGGUUGAUAGGUUAAUAGCCUAUCAAAUUGACGUUAAUCACAGAAGAAGCACCGGCUAACUCCGUGCCAGCAGCCGCGGUAAUACGGGGGGUGCGAGCGUUAAUCGGAAUAACUGGGCGUAAAGGGCACGCAGGCGGUGACUUAAGUGAGAUGUGAAAGCCCCGAGCUUAACUUGGGAAUUGCAUUUCAUACUGGGUCGCUAGAGUACUUUAGGGAGGGGUAGAAUUCCACGUGUAGCGGUGAAAUGCGUAGAGAUGUGGAGGAAUACCGAAGGCGAAGGCAGCCCCUUGGGAAUGUACUGACGCUCAUGUGCGAAAGCGUGGGGAGCAAACAGGAUUAGAUACCCUGGUAGUCCACGCUGUAAACGAUGUCGAUUUGGGGAUUGGGCUUUGAGCUUGGUGCCCGUAGCUAACGUGAUAAAUCGACCGCCUGGGGAGUACGGCCGCAAGGUUAAAACUCAAAUGAAUUGACGGGGGCCCGCACAAGCGG
This 908-nucleotide ribosomal RNA is filed under the name uncultured bacterium. RNAcentral describes it as "bacterial SSU rRNA". It matches the Rfam family "Bacterial small subunit ribosomal RNA", at positions 33 to 932 of the family's 1533-position model. The record is from RNAcentral.